This is a long non-coding RNA of Leptidea sinapis, 407 nucleotides long. RefSeq lists it as uncharacterized. Lineage: Eukaryota; Metazoa; Arthropoda; Insecta; Lepidoptera; Pieridae. The transcript is spliced from 3 exons. The record is from RefSeq and is a predicted model, not a curated record.
CGCCGCAGCAUGUGCGGUGCGAGGCGGUAUCAUCGCAGUCGCUACGAGUGUGGUGGGAGCCGCCACCAGCCGAGCAGCGCGGGGGAAUCAUUCUCGGAUACGAAAUAACUUACCGGCUAUCAACGGAGCUUGAUGGAGUUUGGGAGCGGCGUCGCGUGGGAGGCGGUGAAACACAGGUGUCUGGGCUUCGCGCGGGAAAUUACACGCUGCGUCUCGCCGCGCGUACUUCCGCCGGUCUGGGACCACCCGCACACUUCUACUGUGCCACUAUGGAUGAUGUACCUGGUCCACCAGCAGAUAUAAAGGUGUUUCCACACACAGCGGACUCCGUUGUGCUCAGCUGGUUACCUCCAAUACAACGGAAUGGUCUUAUUAGACACUAUCGUGUAUAUACAAGACCACAACGG